UGCAGAACCUGCAGCUGUGACCAAACUACGUGUUAAUAGAACAACGUCAAGUUCGGCUCUCCUUUCGUGGACUCUGCCCAGUGGCAACACUUCCAGCUAUAGCAUCAUAAUUGGAGGAGAUCUGAACCCCAUGACGGUUAACACGUCGUAUGUGAACGAUGACAGCAGUGACAGAAGAUGGGACCAAAGGGGACGCCACAUCAAUCUCUUGGUCAGCAACUGGUGUGUCUUUGAGAUAUCGACUUUCAAUUCUCAGCUUGGAUGGAUUGGAUGCACAAAAGAAAAAUCUGAUUCUUCAGAAGAUAAACACAGUUCUUCAAGGUCGAUUUGACAAAAGCUCCUUUUCUGCAUCCUGGACCGAAGAGUAAACUGCAAACUCUCUGGGGUCCCUUUGAGGCCUACGGCGCACAUGGUGCUAACGUUCAUGUCCUGCUUUCAUUCCUUUAAUGUCACAAAAUCUAGAAAGUGUGACAAACUGAGAAAUUUACAACGUGCUCUGGAUGGACCUUACUUCAACCAUUAAGAACUACUUAACUUUAGCGCAAUGGUUAAACAUUCUCAGACAUUGUGUGCCUGGAACAUCUCGUCUCUUUUGGUUUGUGGAGCCUUCAGGAGCUGAACAGCACUGGCUGAGCCAACAGCUAUAAUUAACGGUGUGAAUGGAGCACAAACCUUCCAAAUCUCCCAACUUAAUCUUCCAACUUGCAGAGCCAUCUGAGACUAGAGCCUCGAUUCAAGAGAGUGUUGGCAUGUUGGGCUCUGAUGGUUUUCUUUUUUUUAUGCCUGCUAAUUUUCUCUACCAGGUAGAAGAAGUUGCCCAACUGCUUUCUGGAAGACCCUUUGCAUUUUCUCUUUUUACAAUACGACCGAUACAAUCAAGAAUAAAUUGGUGAAGUCCGUCAUGUUUGGCAGUGACUGACUAAGCUCACCCUCGUGAUGACAUAAAUCCAUCCAUCCAUCCAUUUUCUAACCCGCUGAAUCCGAAUACAGGGUCACGGGGGUCUGCUGGAGCCAA
Molecule: long non-coding RNA, 1015 nt
Organism: Polypterus senegalus (gray bichir)
Lineage: Eukaryota; Metazoa; Chordata; Cladistia; Polypteriformes; Polypteridae
Exons: 3
Source: RefSeq, a predicted model, not a curated record